RNAcentral lists this small RNA (5302 nucleotides) under Arabidopsis thaliana (thale cress). RNAcentral describes it as "ATSL157820". The stretch from base 2784 to 2890 matches the Rfam family "Plant small nucleolar RNA R71". The record is from RNAcentral. Lineage: Eukaryota; Viridiplantae; Streptophyta; Magnoliopsida; Brassicales; Brassicaceae.
UGAAAGUGGUUUUUUCUUGAUCAUUAGGGUGAAUUGGUAUUUGAAAGAAACCACUGUAUCCAUCAAGAAAGCAAUAGUAUGGAUAUUUAGCCAAACGUUCAAGCAUUUGGUCAAUGAAUGGUAAAGGAAAAUGAUCUUUCCUAGAUGCAGCAUUCAACUUCCUAUAAUCUAUGCACAUUCUAUGACCAGUUAUAGUUCUAGUAGGGAUCAGUUCAUCUUUUUCAUUUUUGACAACAGUCAUUCCACCCUUUUUAGGGACGCAAUGCACUGGAGAAACCCAAGUACUAUCAGAGAUAGGGUAGAUGACACCAGCAUCAAGCAGUUUCAAAAUUUCUUUUUUCACUACUUCUUUCAAAUUGGGAUUUAACCUCCUCUGUGGUUCAAUGCUGGAAUAGGAUUCGUUUUCAAGAUGGAUCCUAUGGUUGCAUAAACUAGGUGAAAUUCCCUUAAUGUCGGAUAACGAAUAACCAAUUGCUCUCCUAUACUUUCUAAGCUCAGAUAAUAGCAGGUUCACUUCAUCACUAUUUAACUCAGCAUUAAUGAUCACAGGGUAAGUAGAGUUUGGACCAAGGAAUGUGUACCUUAGACCUUUUGGAAGUGGUUUGAGAUCAACUUUCGGUGCCUUAAGUUCAGACCAGUCAUCUGAAGUUGGAAUGAUCGGCUCCCAAGGUUCGUCGGUAGACAAGGUCGAGUGGUUGAUUGAGUACGUCCUCGAGAGUGCAGGUUGAACUCGAGUUGACCCUUCUUCGCUCAUUACCAUUACCUCUGUUGCUGGUCCAUUCAAUUCCUCAAAGGGUUCUGAUUCUUCCAUCGCUUUAUGGGAGUCUAACAGCUUCUGGUAUCCCAAUGUUUCCAAAUGCAGAAACCCAUCUUCACCACUUUUGGUUAAAGCACUGUUAAGAUGAUCUUCUUCUGCCAGCUCUUCCAGUAACUCAUCAGCUAACUGAUCCAUUUCUUCGAUCCAAAAGAGUUGCCCUUCUAUGGUAGGCUUCUUCAUCGCGUCUUUGACAUCGAAGGUCAUCCUAAAGUCUUUGCCAAGGUUCAGAUCAAUCUUCCCUUUCUUGACAUCAAUCAUAGCUCCUGCAGUGGCUAAGAAAGGUCUCCCUAGAAUCAACGGGUCCUUGGGCUCUUCAUCCAUCUCCAUGACUACAAAGUCAGUUGGUAUCUCCACAGCACCGAUCCUGAUUGGGAGGUUUUCGAGCAAACCAUGAGGAAUUCUUACUGAUCUGUCAGCUAGGAUGAGGGAUAUAUUGCAGGACUUGUAUUGAGUGAACCCCAAUCUUUUGGCGACAGAUAGCGGCAUGAGACUGACUGAUGCUCCUAAAUCGCAUAGGCAUCUGUUGAAAGCCAAUGGACCUAAAGAGCACGGUAGAGUGAACGAACCAGGAUCACUAAGCUUCUUAGGAAUGAUCUUCUUCUGUAUGAUAGCGCUGCAUUCAUGACUCAAUACCACCAUCCCUUGCACUUCUUGAAUUCUCUCCACAAUCAAGUCUUUCAGAAACUUGUGAGAGUCUGGGAUUAGCGCUAGAGCGUCAACAAGAGGUAUCCGUAACUCAACCUCCUUAAUGUUCUUGGCAAACAUAGCUCUAUAUUUGUCUGCCAACGCUUUCUUGUGACGGCCAGGAAAUGGAAGCUGCAGUUUGUAGGGAGGAGGGACAAAGACCUUUUCCUUGUUUUUGACAGCAACUGGUUUUGGAGCAGUUGGUGAUGCUGCUGGGAUGACAGGCCGAGUGGUUGGUCGAGUAAUGCUGUCGAGUGGCGGAUCGAGUGAUUGCUCGAGUGACAGGUCGAGUGCUUGCUCGAGUGACAGGUCGAGUGGUUUGUCAGCUUGAUCUUUCUCGAGACUUAAAUCCUCCCCAUCUUGAUCUUCACUGUCCUCAGUGACCGUCUUUGGUUCCUCCUUAGUUGGAAGUGCUUUUCCACUACGCAGGGUGAUAGCAUGAGCAUAUUCUUUUGGAUUCUGAACUGCUUUGCCUGGUAGUUGGCUUGUCUGUUUUGUAGCUGAAGAAGAUGUAGAAUGUCCCUCUAAGUAACGGACUUUGGUAUUCAGUGUUUCCAUCUUGACAUGGAGAUCAUUGUAGCUACAGUCCAGCUUGUUAUGUAACUCAGAUAUCUUCUUUGCCAUCUCCAUGGAGCCAGAGGCUUGCCCGUGAAGCAGCUGUUGUAGCAUUUGUUUCAUAUCAGCGUCAGGAGCAGCAGAACCUUGGUGUUGCUGAGGUGCAAACCCAGGUGGUUGUUGCUGGUAGUUCCCCUGGAAUUGCUGCUUAGGAAUGAAACCUUGGUUGUAGGGAACAAAAGGUUUGUUCUGACUUUGUUGUUGCUGUGGAGGAUACACCUGAUCGUGAGGGUUAGCAACGUUGGUGCUGCGGUAGGAGAGGUUGGGAUUGUUGGUUUUGAAGUUGUUGUAUCCUUUGUAGCCACCCUGGUUGUUGUUGAUGUAGCUUACUUCUUCCAACUGGUUACCCUCCCCAUCUUGGACUUCAUACUGCUCAUCAUCAACAAGGAAGUGCACAUGCUUAUGCUGGCUAAGAAGAAUCCUGUCCAGCUUGUCAUUCAGCGCUUUGAUCUCCUUCCUGUGUUUGUCAUCAGAGUCAGCUGUUCCUCUGACGGUCCUAUCACAGUCUUCGUUGUAAUUUCCAUCUGAUUGAGCAAGGUUCUCAACCAAUUCCCAGCCUUCUUCAACAUCCUUGUUCUGGAAAUUCCCAUUGCUGGCGGUAUCCAGAAGCAUUCUGAUGCGUGGUAGGACUCCUCUGUAAAGAGUGCUGAGCAGAGAGGCUUUAGUAAAGCCAUGAUGAGGGCAUUGGUUGGUGUAACCCUUGAAACGCUCCCAUGCUUCACAGAGGCUUUCACCAGUCUUCUGUGAGAAACCAGAAAUCUCAUUUCUGAAUCUUGCAGUUCUGGCAUUGGAGAAGAACUUUGACAGAAAAGCCUUCUUACAAUCAUCCCAGGUGGUGAUUGAGUCAUGGGGCAUGGGGCAGAUUCUUCUCCCAGAUGUGUGCUUUGUCUCCCAAGGAGAAUGGAAACAAACGGAGCUUGAAUCCGUCUUCACUGACACCAUUGAUCUUUGUUAGGUUGCAGAGCCUAUCGAAUUCAUCAAGGUGGUCGAGUGGAUCCUCCAUUGGCAAACCAUGGAAUUUGUUCCCCUGAAUCAUCGAGAUGAGACCACUCUUAAUCUCGAAGUUGUUAUUCUGGAUAGCAGGAGGUGCGAUUCCCUUCCUCUGACGGUGAUCACGUGGUGCAUCUCCAGCACCAAUGUUGGCAUGGCCAUUUUGCUGAUUCUGUUCUUCAGCCAUAACGAGUGGUUGCUGAGGUACAGGGUUGACUGUGGUUCUCCUUUUUCUGAUUUCGCGGGCUGUGCGGUUGAUGUUGUCGUUGAAAAGGAGGUUCUGGUUGCCUGUUGAUCGAGUUCGCAUACAGCAGAGGUGUACCUGGAUCAAGAAGACAACAAGAAAAACACACAGUAAGUAACUGAAAAGAAAAUUGAAAAAGAACUUGAUCUAAGCAAGUCUGAAAUCUCAAAUGUAACAAACAAACACCCAAUUGGCAACGGCGCCAAAUUGAUAAUAGGUUUUUAAGAUCAAUUAAUCGUAAAGCACUAUCAUGUCGUUGUAGUACUGAAGGUUGUCAAUCCAAAUGGGUGUGAUGCUAACAAUCAAGAUGUGAUCAGAAGUCACUAAGUCAAGCCAAGCAAUAACAGGUUUUGGUGUGUUCUAGCAGUCCUAAGUGAACAUGCAGAAAACAGAAAAUCAAACAGAAACAGUAGAACACUCGACCAACACAGCUCUUUGCAGAGCACUGAGUGAGGUCGAGUGAAUGGUCGAGUAACAGACAGAAAAUGGAACAGGGUACUCGAUUGCACAGUCUGUUGCCAGACAACUGGGUGGUCGAGUACCAGGUCGAGUAACAGUAAAGAAUUGUAGAAACUAAGCAACAUGUGACAGGAUGCAGUAAACAGCAGUAGAGUAAAUAAUAAAAUCAAUCAGACAAAGAAUUCCUAAGGAUGGGGUAAUUGAGUAGUUUCGUUUCCUCAGUUUACAGGUGAUUGACAUGCUCAAUAAAUUAACCCUAGACAACAAGUUCAUUAACCAAAUCUAAUUGCCACCGCAACAGAGACUCUCAAGCUAACCUAGUCCCAGACUCAAUCACCAUUGACGAGAGCUAACCUAACAAGCAUUAUGAAUCAACAAGUUAAAGCAAAAACGCUCCCUGCAACCAAUACCUUGGUACAGGGUCACGAAUCUCUGGAAUUAGUGGUUCAGACAUUUCAUCGAACACCUUUUGGGCGCGGAAAUGUCUGGGCUCAAAUUCCAGUUGAUCAGAAAGCAAUAGGCAUUAAGAACAACUAAUCCAGAAGGGAUCUAUCAAUCAAUACUCAAUCACCUAGCAUACUGAGAAUUCUACACUACUCUAACCCAUCCUCAGAAACCUAUUCACUACUCAGACAUCAUGACAGAAAGCAUAAACGUUGAACAGGUUGAAGACAUGAUAACAGCAGUAUGAUAACAGAAUGAACAACAGUAAACGAAAAUCAAGAACAGAAACUGAAUACUGAAUACUGAAUAGAUAAAGAGAAAUCCGGAUUACAAAAAGUCUAGAACACAAGGUCUGCGGAAAUAAAAACUAGGGAAAAACUUCUUGUUCUCGAAAAUGAGAAGUACAUGCUACUUAUAGCCAAAUAUCCCGAAACCCUAAUACUCAAAACGACGAAGUAUUUGGACGGGUUAAGCACUGUACUCGACCAACGUGGUCGAGUGAAUAGCUGGAGUCUUCUUUUCUUCCUUGUGCUCGAGUGUCUGGUUGAGUGCAGAAUGAAGAAGGCUCUGAAGCUUGUCAUCGAGUAUGCAGUCGAGUGGUGUGAUGGAGGUACUCGACCUCUAGGUAGAGUGAGGAGGUCGAGUGGUUGUCUGAUGAUGGAGGUGAAGACACUCGUCCUCAUGGUCGAGUGAAGUGAUCGAGUGACUGUCUGGUGAUGAGAUGAUGGCACUCGACCUCGGGGUCGAGUGGUGGUUGAAUUGGUGAUGUCCUCUACUCGACCUGUUGGUCGAGUGGUCUCUUGAGAUCUUGAAGCUCCUACUCGACCUCUGGGUCGAGUGGUUUGUCAUGAUCAGGUCCGCUCCUUCCAGAUAGCUCGUCAACAGCUCCAAAUCACCUAAAAUCAACGCAAAUAUGCAACAUGCAUGCAAAACUAUCCUAAACAUGCAAAGUGAUGACAAAUGAUGUGAAAUGGUAUAAAACAGUGAUGAUAUGAUGCUAAAAUGAUGACAAAUGGAUGCUCAAAACAUGCAAAAUACACACUUAUCAC